Molecule: ribosomal RNA, 468 nt
Filed under: uncultured bacterium
Lineage: Bacteria
Description: partial 16S ribosomal RNA
Rfam family: Bacterial small subunit ribosomal RNA
Source: RNAcentral
GACGAACGCUGGCGGCGUGCUUAACACAUGCAAGUCGAACGGAAAGGCCCUGCUUUUGUGGGGUGCUCGAGUGGCGAACGGGUGAGUAACACGUGAGUAACCUGCCCUUGACUUUGGGAUAACUUCAGGAAACUGGGGCUAAUACCGGAUAGGAUCUCCUGCUGCAUGGUGGGGGUUGGAAAGUUUCGGCGGUUGGGGAUGGACUCGCGGCUGAUCAGCUUGUUGGUGGGGGAGUGGCGUACCAAGGCUUUGACGGGUAGCCGGCCUGAGAGGGUGAACGGGCACAUUGGGACUGAGAUACGGCGCAGAGUCCUACGGGGGACAACAGUGGGGAAUAUUGCACAGUCGGCGGAAGCCUGAUGAAGAAACGCCGCGUGCGGGAUGACGGCCUUCGGGUUGUAAACCGCUUUCGCCUGUGACGAAGCGUGUGUGACGGUAAUGGGUAAAGAAGCACCGGCUAACUACGUG